RNAcentral lists this ribosomal RNA (497 nucleotides) under uncultured bacterium. Its description in RNAcentral is "partial 16S ribosomal RNA". It matches the Rfam family "Bacterial small subunit ribosomal RNA", at positions 28 to 507 of the family's 1533-position model. The record is from RNAcentral.
GACGAACGCUGGCGGCGUGCCUAAUACAUGCCAGUUGAGCGCUGAAGGUUGGUACUUGUACCAACUGGAUGAGCAGCGAACGGGUGAGUAACGCGUGGGGAAUCUGCCUUUGAGCGGGGGACAACAUUUGGAAACGAAUGCUAAUACCGCAUAAAAACUUUAAACACAAGUUUUAAGUUUGAAAGAUGCAAUUGCAUCACUCAAAGAUGAUCCCGCGUUGUAUUAGCUAGUUGGUGAGGUAAAGGCUCACCAAGGCGAUGAUACAUAGCCGACCUGAGAGGGUGAUCGGCCACAUUGGGACUGAGACACGGCCCAAACUCCUACGGGAGGCAGCAGUAGGGAAUCUUCGGCAAUGGACGAAAGUCUGACCGAGCAACGCCGCGGGAGUGAAGAAGGGUUUCGGAUCGUAAAACUCUGUUGGCAGAGAAGAACGUUGGUGAGAGUGGAAAGCUCAUCAAGUGACGGUAACUACACAGAAAGGGACGGCUAACUACGUG